RNAcentral lists this transfer RNA (68 nucleotides) under Ictidomys tridecemlineatus (thirteen-lined ground squirrel). RNAcentral's name for it is "Spermophilus tridecemlineatus (thirteen-lined ground squirrel) tRNA". It matches the Rfam family "tRNA". From Rfam's summary of the family: Transfer RNA (tRNA) molecules are approximately 80 nucleotides in length. Their secondary structure includes four short double-helical elements and three loops (D, anti-codon, and T loops). The record is from Rfam by way of RNAcentral. Lineage: Eukaryota; Metazoa; Chordata; Mammalia; Rodentia; Sciuridae. RNAcentral also lists the same sequence under 1 other name.
GGAGUUGUAGCUCAGUGGUAGAACACAUGCCCCCUAAGUGUGAGGCCCUAGGUUCAAUCCUAGCACCA